AGAGAGAGACAUGCGCGCAUAUCAAUAAGCGGAGGAAAAGAAACUAACAAGGAUUCCCUUAGUAACGGCGAGUGAAGCGGGAAGAGCUCAAAUUUGAAAUCUUCAAGGUUUUACCUUGACGAAUUGUAGUUUAAAGAAGUGUUUUCUGCUGAAGUUUUGGUAAAAGUUCUUGGAAUAGGACAUCAUAGAGGGUGAGAAUCCCGUAUUUGACCAUUAUUUUCAGCUUUGUGAUACACUUUCAAAGAGUCGGAUUGUUUGGGAAUGCAGUCCAAAAUGGGUGGUAAAUUUCAUCUAAAGCUAAAUAUUGGCGAGAGACCGAUAGCGAACAAGUACCGUGAGGGAAAGAUGAAAAGAACUUUGAAAAGAGAGUUAAACAGUACGUGAAAUUGUCAAAAGGGAAGCGUUUGACACCAGUGUUGUUUUCUCGAAAAUCAAUUAAAAAUGGCUCGAUUUUGUAUUGUUGAGACCUUAAAAGCUCACUGUACAUUUUUCGUGUCUUUUUUAAUGCACUUUUCGUUUAACAAGUCAACAUCAGUUUCUUUUGUUGUAAAAGGGUCAUUGGAAGGUGGCUUUCUUUUCGGAGAAAGUGUUUAUAGCCUUUGGCCUCUGCAAUCGAAGAGACUGAGGUCUGCAGCGUAGACUCUUCGGGGUUAGAUACAUUUGUGCUAAGUUAUAGCUUUUUAUAGACAACUUGUUGACUAUAAUUAGUCUUGUAGCUUACUCGCUUAUGCUAUUUUACCUACGCUUAGGAUGUUGAGUCGUAGAGCACGCAG
RNAcentral lists this ribosomal RNA (773 nucleotides) under uncultured Neocallimastigales. RNAcentral's name for it is "partial large subunit ribosomal RNA". It matches the Rfam family "Eukaryotic large subunit ribosomal RNA", at positions 23 to 634 of the family's 3401-position model. Lineage: Eukaryota; Fungi; Neocallimastigomycota; Neocallimastigomycetes; Neocallimastigales. The record is from RNAcentral.